AUUUUUUCUUACACAGGUCAUACUUCCAUCACAGUAAAUGUUUACAGUGGUGACAAUGAGACCUGUAACAUUU
This 73-nucleotide small nucleolar RNA is filed under the name Chinchilla lanigera (long-tailed chinchilla). Its description in RNAcentral is "Small nucleolar RNA SNORA1 (ENSCLAG00000019046.1)". The record is from RNAcentral. Lineage: Eukaryota; Metazoa; Chordata; Mammalia; Rodentia; Chinchillidae.